Molecule: long non-coding RNA, 1593 nt
Filed under: Lupinus mutabilis
Lineage: Eukaryota; Viridiplantae; Streptophyta; Magnoliopsida; Fabales; Fabaceae
Description: partial ncRNA
Source: RNAcentral
UUAAUGAGGCCCAACCUGUGCGUUAAUGAGGCCCAACCUGUGCGUUAAUGAGGCCCAACCUGUGCGUGAAGUUUACGCUGAUGCUGUGAGUAUAAAGCUAUGAACUUAACCGUUUAUCAUCAUUAUCAGAGAUGGUGUAAGUACAAAGCUAUGAACUUUUUCUUCUUUCCCUUUUUUUUUCAUUCUUCUUUCCCAUUUUUUCAUUCUUCUUUCCCAUUUUUUCAUUCUUCUUUCUCUUUUCUCGAUUCAUAGCUUUAUUCUCCUUGCUAUGAACUUAACCGUUUAUCAUCAUCAGUGAACUAAACCUGUGCGUUGAAGUGUACGUUUACAGUGGGCAGCUUACAAGAGUGAUGCAUGAAGUUCUAGACAAAGGAAGUGGAGAAAAAAGAGUCCAAGUUUGCUCAAAGAUGCAACUCAGCUGUUCAAUCUCAUUGUAUGUUAGCGUCAGUGAACCGAGAGUUUAUAAUAGACAUAUUUUGUCAAUUUAUCAUGAAAAAUCAUUGUAACAGUGGAUUGCCUGAUUUGUGGAAUUUAGCUAUGAAAUCUGUUGUGUAUUGAACCGUAUCGAGAAAAUUUCCCGGAUUUGUGGAGUUUAUAAUCGACACAACGCUAUUGUUUGCCAUGUUACUUGGAGGUCAUUUAUUCAAAUCCUACAAAUAAUCUCUUCACUUGUGAGAGUCACUGGCGUACCUCUAUCCUCCUCGGAUCCCACUGGCGUACUUCUAUCCUCUCUUGUUUCAAUUUGCCUCCUUAAUGGACAUCAUUUCGUAUCUUCUUUAUUUCCAACUAUAAACAUAUAUAGUAAGUAAGGAGAAAAACUCUUAUUUCUAUUUUAAGAAAACAGAUAUUUUUCAGUACCAUAGUUGAGCAACAUACUAUAUUUGACUGACAGUGCUACCGGGGAAAUAUGAGCAAGGAAGAGAAAAUUCUCAUGGAAAGUGAAGGAAAACAAUCCGAGUGAAUCAGAUGAUAAGCUUAACAGCAGCGAUUAAUGGACUUUAGUGUGAGACUAUUUGACUAACUCUUGACCUAUUGAUGAUAGCUUGAGUUCCUAACUAACUUCUCAUGGCAUGUACUUUACUAUCCACAUAUUUUACUCGUAACUUCUAAUUAUUACACUGUGGUAUAUCGAUAUUUCCGUAGGUACUAACAUGUAUUUGACGGAACUUUUAGGAAUGAUGCAUCGUCUUUUGUGAGGCCAAUUCAAUUAAGAAACAUUGUACUUUCUGCUUUUUGUCGAGAUUGACUAUUCUGGAUUCGAAGUCUUCAGAUCUAAAUAUGCUAUUACUGAUUGCAGACCCUUUUGUUUUACCUGUAAAAUUACAAGGCUUAAGCAGACUAAUGGUGAAAAACUGGAUGGACAUUGCACCCUGGGCAGAGCUAAGUGACAAGCACAAGCUAUAUAUCAAGGAAGAACAAGAACAUGAAAAGCUACAUUCGUGCAGGGGCAGCUUACAAGUUGUUAUAGCACAGUUGUUUCUGUAUGAAGUUCUAGGUGAAUUAGCAAUCUAUUAUCUUCUUCAGACAAAGGAAGUUGAGAAAAAAGAGCCAAAGUUUGCUCAAAAAGAUGCAACAGAGCUGUUCAAUCUCUUU